This 47-nucleotide unclassified non-coding RNA is filed under the name 'Allium porrum' stunting phytoplasma LeSt-Br03. RNAcentral's name for it is "partial 16S-23S ribosomal RNA intergenic spacer". Lineage: Bacteria; Bacillati; Mycoplasmatota; Mollicutes; Acholeplasmatales; Acholeplasmataceae. The record is from RNAcentral.
CUAAGGAAAAAAUAAAAUUAUCAUCUUCAGUUUKGRACAGACCAAAA